Papaver somniferum (opium poppy) is the source of this 1321-nucleotide long non-coding RNA. RefSeq lists it as uncharacterized. The transcript has 3 exons. NCBI's taxonomy places the organism in Eukaryota, Viridiplantae, Streptophyta, Magnoliopsida, Ranunculales, Papaveraceae. The record is from RefSeq and is a predicted model, not a curated record.
AACUAGCCCUUUAUCACUUUUCCCAUUUUCGUUUCCAAGAUCAGAAACUCUCACCUACUCCUUAGUUUACACCGACAUCACCUCCCUCUCUCAUCAGAAACACCAUCCUGCUACUGUUCGCCCAUAUCUCUUCCCCAAUUCGUAGCGUCUCACAUCCUUAUUUCUGUUCCUCUCUCCCUCUCUCUGUCAUAUAAUCACUCUUAACCAUCACCUAAAUUUCUAUACCUAGUUUCCAAAGUAGGGGUCUGAUGUGCCUACUGGUAGAGUAUGGUUUUGAAAUGUUAAAUCAAUCAGUGGAGAUCUUGAGACAAAUCACAGCUCUGAGCAUGGCAGCAAGAAAUUGAAGAAGGGUUGUCAGAAUUUCUCGUACUCACCAAGUUGUUGUGGCAUGUCGCUGGAGUUGUUUAUAGUUAGAGAAAUUUCCACAAAAAGGUAAGAAUAAGGAGAUCAAAAAGAAACAGGGAGCAAUCAGUUUCAAGUAGCCUUUUUCGGAUGCGCAGCGGAUGAGAAUAUAGAAAUCGGUUAACAGAGCUAUUGCGAAAGGUGGAAAUAUGGACCAAAUGGUGGCUAAGGAGUUGAAGGAAAUUCAAGUGUGGAAAUGACUUUUGCAUGGGCCAAAGUGAAAGUCCAAGAAUCAUUCACGCUUAAAGAAAAGAAACCAAAGCAAUUUACUUUUAUAUACCUAACCCAUGUAUUAUUGCUCAACAGCCAAACUAGCCCUUUGUCACUUUUCCCAUUUUCAUUUCCAAGAUCAGAAACUCUCACUUUCUCCUUAGUUUACACCGACAUCACCUCCCUCUCUCAACAGAAACACCAUCCUGCUACUGUUCGCCCAUAUUUAUUCCCCAAUUCGUACCGUCUCACAUCCUUAUUUAUGUUUCUCUCUCUCUCUCUUCCUCUCUCUCUGUCAUAUAAUCACUCUUAACCAUCACCUAAAUUUCUAGACCUAGUUUCUAAAGUAUGGGUCUCGUGUGCCUACUGGUAGAGUAUGGUUUUGAAAUGUUAAAUCAACCAGUGGAGAUCUUGAGACAAAUCACAGCUCUGAGCAUGGCAGCAAGAAAUUGAAGAAGGGUUGUCAGAAUUUCUUGUAAGUUGUAACUUAUUGUUUGUAUUUUAUUGCUUAAUAGGUUGGAUUAGAAUUGGGGGAAACUUGUAUAAAUAGAAGAGGCAGUUGUGAAUGGAAAGGAAAUCUCGGGUUAGCCGGUGCAAUCUGUUGUUGUUAGGUUUAGGUUUUAUUUCAAUUUUACUUAUGUUCUAAAAAUCUCUGCUAGGGUAGAGAUGAAACCCCUUUAUUAACUAGAAUUUCUCUUGUUUGAUUUCA